AUUUGAAAUAAAAGAAGGAAAAAAUGCAGAAAAAAUAAAAGAAAUAUUAACAAUAAUUUAUCCAUUACUUAUUAUUAAAGGGGGAUAGCAAUGGCCGUGGGUCACGUGUGUGGCCGACAUACCGCGAAUGAAUAGGGGGGUCUGGAAGCAUUAACUCCCCCAGAAAAUUUUUGAAAUUUCAAGCCCAAAAAUGCCAUUUCCUGCCGUCUGAGCAUCUAAAGAAUUUAUCCUAACUAUACUUCUAUUUGAAAUAAAAGAAGGAAAAAACACACAAAGAAUUUAAAAAAUAUUAACAAUAAUUUAUCAUUACUUAGUGUUAGAAACACGUAGGAUGCGCACGCGGUGUCCUUUAAAUCGAUUUUGUUAAACAAGGAUAAAGCCUAAAACGUACGUUCCGUUUAUCAAUUUGUUAUUCUUCGCUGGUUUGUUUGUAUAAAUUUAGGAAAAAGGGAC
Paramuricea clavata is the source of this 453-nucleotide non-coding RNA. NCBI's taxonomy places the organism in Eukaryota, Metazoa, Cnidaria, Anthozoa, Malacalcyonacea, Plexauridae. The record is from the annotation of a GenBank genome assembly.